UUAAAAUUUUGUCUAGACAUGAAACUUCAAAUCCAAUGUGGACUAUCUUAGAGGAUGACACCUGUUUUUUUUUGCUAUUUAGUGUUGCUCAUUUGUGUAGUUUUAAAGAUAUAAUUUAAAGAUAUAAUUGCCUGUAUCUAAUUUGUGAAAUUGGGUGGGUAGGAAUUAAGCUAAAUGUGAUAUAUUCAUGUUAAAUUCUCUUAAGUGUAGUAAAAAGUAUAUAAAUUAUUAGGGUUUGAAACCUUCAAAUUUGUAUGAACAGAGUUGUAUUCAUCAGUUGUUAUCACUGGUAUAUGCUAUUAUGAUGUUGUUGCUAUGCUAACAAACUGGUAUGCGAGAAUUGUAAUUUUUGCAGUAAUGCUUCAUUAUAUACAAUUUUUC
Molecule: long non-coding RNA, 381 nt
Filed under: Trifolium pratense (red clover)
Lineage: Eukaryota; Viridiplantae; Streptophyta; Magnoliopsida; Fabales; Fabaceae
Description: long non-coding RNA (TPRA_LNC002866)
Source: RNAcentral